Molecule: non-coding RNA, 900 nt
Organism: Paramuricea clavata
Lineage: Eukaryota; Metazoa; Cnidaria; Anthozoa; Malacalcyonacea; Plexauridae
Source: the annotation of a GenBank genome assembly
AUCCCUUUUCUUGUAUAUGUCCGGAAAAAUUUUUGUACCCCUAAAAUGGUACACUGACCGAAAUUUUUUUGGCGACGGGGGGGGGGGAGGUCACGAAAAAAAAAUUUAGCCCCCCAGAAUGAAAUCUGUUCCGCCGCCGCUGGAUCCAAGUCUACUCCACGAAUACUUUGUAUUCGCAGAUCGCAAGCACAUAUCAAAUGAAAGUAUAGACGUAGUCCUCACAUAUAAUGUAGCAUGAAUGGCAAAUGCAUUUCAUAACAUAACAUAACAUAACAUAACAUAACAUAACAUAACAUAACAUAACAUAACACAACCUAAAUAUAUCAUGUAACGUCCAUAAUGUUUGGUGACUUAGGUUUUAGUUGAGGCAAAAGGUAAGCUUGGAAAAUCAUGAUUUUCGACAAAACAAACGCACUAUUGCACAGACACGAUCAGUAUCAGCCCAAUUUAAAUUGCAACGAUCUGUGUGCUGGUACCUGCGCUCCUUCGCCCAGCGGCUACGCUCGUGUAAGAUCCGCCAUGUAAAGUGUAGUGAAAUGUAUCUCAUCGUAAUAUUAAAUCCUAAGAAAACUAAAGCCUCUGCGGAGGAGAGAGGUGCUGGUAGGUAGUUUGGCUAGUGCCCCGGGCGCCUUCGCUCGAAACGUCGAAGUUUCACUUGGUUAUUCCAUUUAAUAUCCGUAACCCCCUGUCAAGGAUCUUGGAGUUCUUCAGGGGUAAGGUAAUUUUUGACCCUUGAAUUCCUUAUGGGUAAACAAAUUCUGCUGUGGAAUUCUAUCGUAGCAUGCUUCAAUACAUCAGGAAUCAUAAUAAUAAUAAUUUAAUAAAAUACCGAUUUGUAACCUGUAGGUUAAAUUACAUCGGUAAAAAGUCUCAUUAUACUACAAUAUAAAUAUCUAAAUG